RNAcentral lists this ribosomal RNA (515 nucleotides) under uncultured bacterium. RNAcentral describes it as "bacterial SSU rRNA". It matches the Rfam family "Bacterial small subunit ribosomal RNA", at positions 1 to 507 of the family's 1533-position model. The record is from RNAcentral.
CCCUUAGAGUUUGAUCCUGGCUCAGGAUGAACGCUAGCUACAGGCUUAACACAUGCAAGUCGAGGGGCAGCAUUUUAGUUUGCUUGCAAACUAAAGAUGGCGACCGGCGCACGGGUGAGUAACACGUAUCCAACCUGCCGAUAACUCGGGGAUAGCCUUUCGAAAGAAAGAUUAAUAUCCGAUGGUAUAUUAAAACCGCAUGGUUUUACUAUUAAAGAAUUUCGGUUAUCGAUGGGGAUGCGUUCCAUUAGUUUGUUGGCGGGGUAACGGCCCACCAAGACUACGAUGGAUAGGGGUUCUGAGAGGAAGGUCCCCCACAUUGGAACUGAGACACGGUCCAAACUCCUACGGGAGGCAGCAGUGAGGAAUAUUGGUCAAUGGACGAGAGUCUGAACCAGCCAAGUAGCGUGAAGGAUGACUGCCCUAUGGGUUGUAAACUUCUUUUAUAUGGGAAUAAAGUAUUCCACGUGUGGGAUUUAGUAUGUACCAUAUGAAUAAGGAUCGGCAACUCUGGG